UGGGGAAUAUUGGACAAUGGGGGCAACCCUGAUCCAGCCACGCCGCGUGAGUGAUGAAGGCCUUCGGGUCGUAAAGCUCUGUGGGGAGGGACGAACGUCCGGGUGAAGAAUCCGGGGUGACGGUACCUCCUUAGCAAGCACCGGCUAACUUCGUGCCAGCAGCCGCGGUAAUACGAAGGGUGCAAACGUUGCUCGGAAUCAUUGGGCGUAAAGCGCACGUAGGCGGCUUCAAAAGUCGGAUGUGAAAUCCCUCGGCUCAACCGAGGACGUGCAUCCGAAACUGUGAGGCUUGAGUACUGAAGAGGAUCGCGGAAUUCCCGGUGUAGAGGUGAAAUUCGUAGAUAUCGGGAGGAACACCAGUGGCGAAGGCGGCGAUCUGGGCAGAUACUGACGCUGAGGUGCGAAAGCGUGGGGAGCAAACAGGAUUAGAUACCCCCGUAGUCC
Molecule: ribosomal RNA, 444 nt
Filed under: uncultured bacterium
Lineage: Bacteria
Description: bacterial SSU rRNA
Rfam family: Bacterial small subunit ribosomal RNA
Source: RNAcentral